RNAcentral lists this ribosomal RNA (759 nucleotides) under Parahaemophilus parainfluenzae. RNAcentral's name for it is "Haemophilus parainfluenzae bacterial SSU rRNA". It matches the Rfam family "Bacterial small subunit ribosomal RNA", at positions 28 to 776 of the family's 1533-position model. The record is from RNAcentral. Lineage: Bacteria; Pseudomonadati; Pseudomonadota; Gammaproteobacteria; Pasteurellales; Pasteurellaceae.
AUUGAACGCUGGCGGCAGGCUUAACACAUGCAAGUCGAACGGUAACAUAAAGAAGCUUGCUUCUUUGAUGACGAGUGGCGGACGGGUGAGUAAUGCUUGGGAAUCUAGCUUAUGGAGGGGGAUAACUACGGGAAACUGUAGCUAAUACCGCGUAGAAUCGAGAGAUGAAAGUGUGGGACCUUCGGGCCACAUGCCAUAGGAUGAGCCCAAGUGGGAUUAGGUAGUUGGUGAGGUAAAGGCUCACCAAGCCGACGAUCUCUAGCUGGUCUGAGAGGAUGACCAGCCACACUGGGACUGAGACACGGCCCAGACUCCUACGGGAGGCAGCAGUGGGGAAUAUUGCGCAAUGGGGGCAACCCUGACGCAGCCAUGCCGCGUGAAUGAAGAAGGCCUUCGGGUUGUAAAGUUCUUUCGGUAGCGAGGAAGGCAUUUAGUUUAAUAGACUAGGUGAUUGACGUUAACUACAGAAGAAGCACCGGCUAACUCCGUGCCAGCAGCCGCGGUAAUACGGAGGGUGCGAGCGUUAAUCGGAAUAACUGGGCGUAAAGGGCACGCAGGCGGUGACUCAAGUGAGGUGUGAAAGCCCCGGGCUUAACCUGGGAAUUGCAUUUCAUACUGGGUCGCUAGAGUACUUUAGGGAGGGGUAGAAUUCCACGUGUAGCGGUGAAAUGCGUAGAGAUGUGGAGGAAUACCGAAGGCGAAGGCAGCCCCUUGGGAAUGUACUGACGCUCAUGUGCGAAAGCGUGGGGAGCAAACAGG